GUCCCACGAGGCUGUUGGUAGAGUAUGGUGCUUGCAACACUAGGGUUGUGGGUUCGAUUCCCACGAGGGACC
This 72-nucleotide transfer RNA is filed under the name Salmo salar (Atlantic salmon). It matches the Rfam family "tRNA". Rfam says of the family: Transfer RNA (tRNA) molecules are approximately 80 nucleotides in length. Their secondary structure includes four short double-helical elements and three loops (D, anti-codon, and T loops). Lineage: Eukaryota; Metazoa; Chordata; Actinopteri; Salmoniformes; Salmonidae. The record is from Rfam by way of RNAcentral. RNAcentral also lists the same sequence under 1 other name.